Long non-coding RNA from Anneissia japonica, 1565 nucleotides. RefSeq lists it as uncharacterized. The transcript has 2 exons. The record is from RefSeq and is a predicted model, not a curated record. Lineage: Eukaryota; Metazoa; Echinodermata; Crinoidea; Comatulida; Comatulidae.
ACGUACUGAGAAUUUGGUACGAUAACACGUCAGGUAGGGCAAAUAAUUACUCCUUUGAUAUUUCUCGACGUCGCAAACUCGCAUCUUAAGUUGUAGUGGUUUUCAUCUGGCUAGAUAACCUGCGGGUCGUGGGUUCGAUUCCCACCCCAACCAUUUUUUUCCCUAUUGGCUAGUAAUUAGGGAUAUCUAAUUUGAAUAUUUUUAUAAUCUAUUUUUUAACGUGAUUUUUAAAAAUAAAUCGGGACUUAAAACAAUAUUCAUUUAUACUAAUUAUUUUGAAUAUUUAAUAACAUAAAACAUUAUUAACAUUUACUUUGUAUAUUUAAGUUUUUCUUUACUUUUGACACCAUGACCAUGAGUAAUAUUGACCUGCUACUGUAUAUAUUCGAAUCAUGUUCUCAAGAGUUGACUGACUGGUACUUGGUGUGGUACUAGGUUAAUGGCUUAGGGCAUGGUCACAAUAACGAGUUUCACAACCUGAUGGAAAUAGCUGCGCCAAACUGCCUAUCUCAUGAUCAAAUGAAUUUCCUCCAAUUAUUUUUGAAUUCGAAUUUUUUUGUUAUAGAGCAGUGUUGGGCAUAGAAUGGGGUUGAGGGUCUUUUACCUCAACACCGAGAACUGCAUCUAAACUUCUAGAGUACUUGUAAUAAUCCUUUAUGUACUUCUUUUGUAACAAUUUACGCUUAGUUUUAACGUUAGUACAGUACUGUAUUUAUAGAUAUUGGUGCCACAGGCUGUUAAAAAGGCGUUUUUUGUAAUGGUAGGUAGGAUAUUUGUAGAGUACCUUCCACAAUAACAUCGUUUUAAGGCGCUGACAGUAUUCAGACCUUUAAUAUACUUUUGCCAGCCACAACAAAAUUGCCGCCAGAUCACAUGUGGCCCAUAGGUCACACUCUGCCCUCCUAUGCUUUAGACUAAAGGUAAACCUGUACAACUUAAUGGGGUUAAAAACUAUCAGUCUUUAUCAUCAUUGUGGCUUUCCUACCUCAUGCAAUGUAUGACUGUUCAAGUCAAUAGUAAACACUACUAAUAAAAUAUUCCAUUGCCCAAAAUACAUUUAACAGAAUUUAUUUGAAAACAUUAUCAUCACAUGCAACACAGAAUUAAUUUGCAGGAAACUGUCACAGAAUAAUAAUACAUAAGUUUGAAAAAUGCAGGCUGAGUGUAUAUUGUACAAUACUACUAGCAGACUAAAAAAAAAUACCAACUGGCAAAUAAUCGUCCGGAAGACUAUGCUAUUUAAACACAUGUCUAAAAACAGUAGAUCAAAAUAAACAGUAUAGUAUGAAUAUUGUACAAUUCAUAAAAUGUUCAAUUAGUCAAUCAAUGAAUUAUCAUCCUUUCUUUGAUAAUCUUGUGCAAAUAUAUUACAGUAUAUUUUUAGCGCACUGUUUUACAGAAUGGCUUAAAAUGCCUUACUGACUGUUUUCAAUAUAACCCUGUGUAAAUUCUGCGAAUUAAAUGAUUACUUAGGAUCUACUGAUAUACAUUUGAUACAACAAAAUUCAAAAAAUUUUUCUGCAGACCGGAUGUAAAUUACAAAAUUGUUUUCUUUCAUACAAAUU